UGGGCUACGUGUAGGUAUCCUCAAUUCGCGGAAAUUCGACAGUUGUCCAGAUCUGCAAAUUUCGGGCCAGACAGACCCGUUACCGGAAAAGUCUCCGAAUUGGACCGAGGUUUUGGCUAGCCCCCCAUUGUCAGACGUCCCGAGCGCGUUCCCGAAGUCGGAAUUGGCAAAGGUGAGCCGGGACAGCCUUCUUCCUCCGCCCAGCCGCCACAGUGAUUGUCGUCAAGUCUGCUACAGGAGGAUUUUAUUUUGGUUAACCUGCUUUUCUCCUUCGCAGGUUGUUUAUCAAUAUUUGUGUAAUUUUAUUUACUCCUAGAAUUUCCGCAUGUGUUAGAAGUAUUUAUUUGAUUAUGGUCUGUAAUAUUAUUAUCA
Hevea brasiliensis (rubber tree) is the source of this 372-nucleotide long non-coding RNA. RefSeq lists it as uncharacterized. NCBI's taxonomy places the organism in Eukaryota, Viridiplantae, Streptophyta, Magnoliopsida, Malpighiales, Euphorbiaceae. The transcript is spliced from 3 exons. The record is from RefSeq and is a predicted model, not a curated record.